CAUAUCACACUGAAACACUGAGUCUCUUAAGAUCACCAAAGUUAAGAAACAUUGAGCCUGGCCUGUACAGAGAUGGGCGACCACUUGGGAAUAACUAGGUGCUGUAA
Molecule: non-coding RNA, 107 nt
Organism: Acanthosepion pharaonis
Lineage: Eukaryota; Metazoa; Mollusca; Cephalopoda; Sepiida; Sepiidae
Source: the annotation of a GenBank genome assembly